Molecule: ribosomal RNA, 422 nt
Filed under: Clostridioides difficile
Lineage: Bacteria; Bacillati; Bacillota; Clostridia; Peptostreptococcales; Peptostreptococcaceae
Description: partial 23S ribosomal RNA
Rfam family: Bacterial large subunit ribosomal RNA
Source: RNAcentral
GACAUGUGGACAGUAUGGGAGUGAGAAUGUUGGCAUGAGUAGCGAGAUGUGGGUGAGAAUCCCACAGGCCGUAAACCCAAGGUUUCCAGGGGAAGGUUCGUCCGCCCUGGGUUAGUCGGGACCUAAGCUGAGGCCGAAAGGCGUAGGUGAUGGACAACAGGUUGAUAUUCCUGUACUACCGAUAACCGUUUGAGAGAAGGGAUGACACAGUAGGAUAAGCUAAGCACACUGUUGGUUAUGUGUGCCCAAGCAUUGAGGCAGUCAAAGUAGGCAAAUCCGCUUUGAUAAUGCUGGGAUGUGAUGGGGAGCGAAAUUUAGUAGCGAAGUAGCUGAUUUCACACUGUCAAGAAAAGUCUCUAUCGAGGUUAAAGGUACCCGUACCGCAAACCGACACAGGUGGGUGAGGAGAGUAUCCUAAGGCC